Molecule: non-coding RNA, 1077 nt
Organism: Cinara cedri
Lineage: Eukaryota; Metazoa; Arthropoda; Insecta; Hemiptera; Aphididae
Source: the annotation of a GenBank genome assembly
AUUUUUAAUAGAAAUUGUGAAUAUUGCAGCUUUUUAAACAUUUAUAACCAAAUUCUGCUUCAAAUCAUUUCUGUUACCAAUGGUUUAUCGCUGCAUGCGCAUUUAAAUUAUUGCUUUCUAUAUCCUACCUUUUUGACUUAUCACCUACAACAGUGGCCAUCCAUUGUGUGAAGCAUGUCAGUUUUUUUUUUAAAUAGAAUUAUUAACGUGUUCAUUAGUACCUAACGAUCAGUCAUAAUGUUGAUUUUAGGAUGAAUGCUAAGGAGCGGAAGCACCUACCAUUCCAAACUUCUUAAAAUCUGUAUGAACUAUUCACUUUAAAUUGACCUGCUUCCACACAUACAUUGAACCGCCGUGGUCUGUGAUUAAUCUGCAGUGUUCGGUAAUUGUCGUUGCUGUCAUAGAAGGCAGCAGGCGGUCGCCGCAAUCGUGUAUACAGAUGUUUUUUGAGGGGUUUUCGUCAAGCGAGUGUGUCAACUUACGGCGAAUAGAAUAUAAUAACAAAAUAUUUGUGGUCUUAUAUUUUACAAAUUUACAUUAAUACCUAUUGGCUAUUGUGCAUUUUUCAUUGACAAACUUUGAAUUUCACCGAAGAGAAAAAUUGUUUCAACAGCAAUAUGAGAUCUGAUUGGACAUGUGUAAUUUAUCAACUGUGAACUACUCUUGUAGAAAAUGUAUUUUUUAAAAGGCAUUUAAAUUUAGAUUUCAAGUUAUGUAUUGUAAAAUCCAAUGGAUUUUUAAUAUGUAUUUCUAAUAAAUAAUACUGUACUCAUCUGAUAAGUAAUAUCAUAUUUAAUCAGUUAAAAGAGAUUUAUAUUAAUGUACAUUCAUAGAUUUUGAAUUGAUACAUGGCCACCAUAAAUCUAAUUUUAAAUUCCUGAAUCUGGGUGUUUCAAAGUGACAUUGUACAAAAAUCAGGGCAGAGUACCGUACCGCUUACUCUCGACUGUCAUGGUAUAUUAUCAUUAAAAAAAAAAUUAAAUUUAAAAUGUACAGGCUGCAUUCAACAAUGAUAAUAUUGUUCUGUGAUAAUCAUGUUCGUAAAUCAUAGUUUAAAAAGACCAACCUUCAAAUGGG